Molecule: ribosomal RNA, 507 nt
Filed under: uncultured bacterium
Lineage: Bacteria
Description: partial 16S ribosomal RNA
Rfam family: Bacterial small subunit ribosomal RNA
Source: RNAcentral
GACGAACGCUGGCGGCGUGCCUAAUACAUGCAAGUCGAACGCAUUUUCUUUCACCGUAGCUUGCUACACCGAAAGAAAAUGAGUGGCGAACGGGUGAGUAACACGUGGGUAACCUGCCCAUCAGCGGGGGAUAACACUUGGAAACAGGUGCUAAUACCGCAUAAUUCCAUUUACUGCAUGGUAGAUGGAUGAAAGGCGCUUUUGCGUCACUGAUGGAUGGACCCGCGGUGCAUUAGCUAGUUGGUGGGGUAACGGCCUACCAAGGCUGCGAUGCAUAGCCGACCGGAGAGGGUGAUCGGCCACACUGGGACUGAGACACGGCACAGACUCCUACGGGAGGCAGCAGUAGGGAAUCUUCGGCAAUGGACGCAAGUCUGACCGAGCAACGCCGCGUGAGUGAAGAAGGGUUUCGGAUCGGAAAACUCGGUUGUUAGAAAAGAACAAGGAUGAGAGUGGAAAGUUCAUCCCUUGACGGUAUCUAACCAGAAAGCCACGGCUAACUACGUG